Molecule: unclassified non-coding RNA, 336 nt
Filed under: soil metagenome
Description: partial contains 5.8S ribosomal RNA, internal transcribed spacer 2, and large subunit ribosomal RNA
Rfam family: 5.8S ribosomal RNA (bases 1-120)
Source: RNAcentral
GAUGAAGAACGCAGCGAAAUGCGAUAAGUAGUGUGAAUUGCAGAAUUCAGUGAAUCAUCGAAUCUUUGAACGCACAUUGCGCCCCUUGGUAUUCCAUGGGGCAUGCCUGUUCGAGCGUCAUUUGUACCUUCAAGCUCUGCUUGGUGUUGGGUGUUUGUCUCGCCUCUGCGUGUAGACUCGCCUCAAAACAAUUGGCAGCCGGCGUAUUGAUUUCGGAGCGCAGUACAUCUCGCGCUUUGCACUCAUAACGACAGCGUCCAAAAGUACAUUUUACACUCUUGACCUCGGAUCAGGUAGGGAUACCCGCUGAACUUAUGCAUAUCAAUAAGCGGAGUA